GGUGUAGCUCAGCUGGUAGAGCAUCUGGUUGUGGUCCAGAGGGUCGCGGGUUCAAAUCCCGUCAC
Molecule: transfer RNA, 65 nt
Filed under: chicken gut metagenome
Rfam family: tRNA
About the family: Transfer RNA (tRNA) molecules are approximately 80 nucleotides in length. Their secondary structure includes four short double-helical elements and three loops (D, anti-codon, and T loops).
Source: RNAcentral